This is a long non-coding RNA of Camelina sativa (false flax), 359 nucleotides long. RefSeq lists it as uncharacterized. The record is from RefSeq and is a predicted model, not a curated record. Lineage: Eukaryota; Viridiplantae; Streptophyta; Magnoliopsida; Brassicales; Brassicaceae.
CAAAAUCAGUUCUUUGUAACAAGCAAAAUAUCAUAAAGACGGUUUGUUUGUUCGUGAUAUUGAAGAAUAUUCACAAAGAAGUUGUUGCAUCCUCGAAAAAGUUAUGGCAACCAAGAAGUUUUCAUGUCUUAUGUUACUUUCAUUGAUGAUGUUUGCUUUCUUCAUCAUGUUGCCUGUGAUAUUAGGACAAAGCCACAAUCAAUGUUUUGAUAGGGCAUAUCCAUGUCACGAGGAUUCAUGCAGAAAGAGCUGUAUCUUGCGAGGUUAUAAAUCAGGAGGUUGUCUAAAACUUGCUUUUCAAAUUGCUUGUUGUUGCUGGUAGCAAACCGGUUUAGAAUCUCAUGUAUUUCUCAAUGAUA